Molecule: ribosomal RNA, 459 nt
Filed under: uncultured bacterium
Lineage: Bacteria
Description: partial 16S ribosomal RNA
Rfam family: Bacterial small subunit ribosomal RNA
Source: RNAcentral
CCUCGGGUGGCAUCAUUUCUUCCUCUUUUUCCCUUUUCGUCCUCCUGCCCCCGCCCAGUCGCGUGCGGGAAUAAGGCCCUACGGGUCGUAAACCUCUUUUGCCGGGGAGCAAGGGCGGGGACGUGUCCCGGCCCGGAGAGUACCCGGAGAAAAAGCAUCGGCUAACUCCGUGCCAGCAGCCGCGGUAAUACGGAGGAUGCGAGCGUUAUCCGGAUUUAUUGGGUUUAAAGGGUGCGUAGGCGGGCUUUUAAGUCAGCGGUAAAAAUUCGGGGCUCAACCCCGUCCGGCCGUUGAAACUGGGGGCCUUGAGUGGGCGAGAAGAAGGCGGAAUGCGUGGUGUAGCGGUGAAAUGCAUAGAUAUCACGCAGAACCCCGAUUGCGAAGGCAGCCUUCCGGCGCCCUACUGACGCUGAGGCACGAAAGUGCGGGGAUCGAACAGGAUUAGAUACCCUGGUAGUC